UCUGUGCACUUGAGUGCAGGUGGAUAUGUGC
Molecule: non-coding RNA, 31 nt
Filed under: Homo sapiens (human)
Lineage: Eukaryota; Metazoa; Chordata; Mammalia; Primates; Hominidae
Source: RNAcentral